Molecule: long non-coding RNA, 978 nt
Organism: Sphaeramia orbicularis (orbiculate cardinalfish)
Lineage: Eukaryota; Metazoa; Chordata; Actinopteri; Kurtiformes; Apogonidae
Exons: 2
Source: RefSeq, a predicted model, not a curated record
UUCUUCAUCUGUUUCCUUGGUUUUUAUAAUAAUGACCUUGGUGGGUUCCACCAAUCAGUGUUCUUCAACACACAGCCCCGCCCCCAAGAAUUCAGGGAAUCUGAAGAGUCCUGCCCCGUUUUCAAAUCUUUGAAGGUUGGGUCGAAAGAAACUUUCGAGGCCGGUUUAUUCAGUGGAAACAUGUCCCAGUUUAAACGCUGCUGAUUGGACAGCGUUGUUUGGGUGGGUGGAGCAUCAGACGAGACGAACAACAUAAAUGAAAGUUCAUAUUCUGGAUUUCAGCCAAUGAACAAUUAGAACAAAAUAAAAGUGUCGUUAACAUUCGACUGCGCUAGGCUCUGAUUGGUCAAUGACACGUGAAGCCCCGCCACCAUUGACGGACAUAUGAUCGUGACGUCGCAUUUAAGAUCAUUUUACAGGUGACCACAGUGUGGAGGAGGAGGCUGUUACCAUGACGACACCGUUAUGUGGUCUUAUUAUUAUGGGAUGUUUUCUGUAACUUCAUCCGUUCACUUUAUUAUUUGUAAAAUGAUCUUUGACUGUCGUGUCCCAGCGGAGGGGGCGGAGCCUCGCCUGUCCACAGGUGGAGAUCGGCCUCAGAUUCAGCCGAUCCAGCCAAUCAGAGACGAGCACGGUGCUCACUUGUUGAGUUCAGGUGUUUUUAAUGAAUGUGUUUAAUGGACGAAGUGUUUAUGUCGUUAUUUAUUUCAACCUUAUUUAUUGGUUUGUUUGAUUCUACAGAAUUAAACUCAUAUUUACGUCCAUGUUUUAUAGUUUAAGAGGCGCCAUCGUUGUCGUCUCUUCGUCCAGUUGCGAUGUUCGUGUCUGAGUCGAAUAAAACCCAGAGUUGGUUUAUUUAUUUUAUUUGGUAGAAACAGUCGCUCAGUGAAUGUGUUUGUGUUUUUUUUCGCAGUAUUUUGUAUCAACGUGAAAUGUUCGUUUGGUUUUUUAAUAAAAUAAAUGUUCAGUCAAACUGUU